RNAcentral lists this ribosomal RNA (60 nucleotides) under Celerinatantimonas diazotrophica. The record is from RNAcentral. Lineage: Bacteria; Pseudomonadati; Pseudomonadota; Gammaproteobacteria; Celerinatantimonadaceae.
ACGCAACAGCGCCGAUGAUAGUGUGGGGUUUCCCCAUGUGAAAGUAGGUCACUGCCAGGC